AAACUAAGCAACGUUAAAACAUGAUUGCAUUGAAGUAA
Molecule: unclassified non-coding RNA, 38 nt
Filed under: Bodo saltans
Lineage: Eukaryota; Euglenozoa; Kinetoplastea; Eubodonida; Bodonidae
Source: RNAcentral